GUGCCUGUGGCUCAAAGGUGUAGGGCGCCGGCCUCAUACGCCGGAGAUGGAGAGUUCAAACCCAGCCCCA
This 70-nucleotide transfer RNA is filed under the name Otolemur garnettii (small-eared galago). It matches the Rfam family "tRNA". From Rfam's summary of the family: Transfer RNA (tRNA) molecules are approximately 80 nucleotides in length. Their secondary structure includes four short double-helical elements and three loops (D, anti-codon, and T loops). Further hydrogen bonds mediate the characteristic L-shaped molecular structure. tRNAs have two regions of fundamental functional importance: the anti-codon, which is responsible for specific mRNA codon recognition, and the 3' end, to which the tRNAs corresponding amino acid is attached (by aminoacyl-tRNA synthetases). tRNAs cope with the degeneracy of the genetic code in two manners: having more than one tRNA (with a specific anti-codon) for a particular amino acid; and 'wobble' base-pairing, i.e. permitting non-standard base-pairing at the 3rd anti-codon position. The record is from Rfam by way of RNAcentral. Lineage: Eukaryota; Metazoa; Chordata; Mammalia; Primates; Galagidae.